Molecule: unclassified non-coding RNA, 328 nt
Filed under: Hevea brasiliensis (rubber tree)
Lineage: Eukaryota; Viridiplantae; Streptophyta; Magnoliopsida; Malpighiales; Euphorbiaceae
Source: RNAcentral
GGGGAACGGUCCCUUCCUUUGUGGAGACGACGACACUGCGAUUGUAACUGCGAUCUAGCUUCCUUUUGGUUUAGAAAGUGGAUACUGCGAAUUUGAAGAGUUCAUCCUUCCAUAAACACCAGCUUCAACAUGGAUCCAAAUGGAAAGAUUGACCAGACGGUGCAACUGGUGAAGUCGGUUUCUGAUAAGCAUCUUGAUCUUUUGAGGCCAUCUGCCCGGAUUUGUUCAAUAUUCAAAGGCCAAGGAAAAGAUGUUUCAGAUCACAUAAGGAGCAAGUACACACUUCUCAGGGAUGUAGAGGAUUCUCAAGUAGGGCUAUAUGACAAAC